GCAUUGUUGGCCGUCCUUGUUGAGCAUCACAACAAUGGUGACCAUGCUCAAAAUGGUUGGAAGCCACAUGUGUAUAAUGCUUGCAUUAAGCAUGUCAAGGAUACAUGUGAUGUUGACAUUACGAAGGAAAACAUAACAGGAAGAAUCAAAACAUUUGACAAGCAGUAUGAGAUCAUUACCAAGAUGCUUGCACAGAGUGGCUUUGGAUGGGAUUGGGUAAAGAACAUGGUGUCGGUUGAUAGUGACGAAGUGUGGUCUCGAUAUGUGGAGGCUAACAAGGACGCACGUGCCUAUAGGAACAAGGUAGUGCUCAAUUGGGAGUCUAUCAAUACCAUAUAUUCAAAAGAUCAUGCAACCGGUGUAGGUGCUAGGACAGGAGCUGAAUGUGUUCAAGAACCACAAGACACACCCGUAGUUGAAGAAUCUCCUGAGGUGCCUCAAAAGAGGCAACACACCGGGGAUGCUAUCUUGUGUAUGAUGGGAAAGAUGAAGAUGUCUUUCAAUGAUGCUUUGAAGACAACCGAGCCACUUCCUAUGCCAAAGGUGACUCCUCCAACAGAAAUCCUUGCUGCACUA
RNAcentral lists this ribosomal RNA (576 nucleotides) under Triticum aestivum (bread wheat). Its description in RNAcentral is "partial small subunit ribosomal RNA". The record is from RNAcentral. Lineage: Eukaryota; Viridiplantae; Streptophyta; Magnoliopsida; Poales; Poaceae.